This 481-nucleotide ribosomal RNA is filed under the name uncultured bacterium. Its description in RNAcentral is "partial 16S ribosomal RNA". It matches the Rfam family "Bacterial small subunit ribosomal RNA", at positions 28 to 507 of the family's 1533-position model. The record is from RNAcentral.
GAUGAACGCUGGCGGCGUGCUUAACACAUGCAAGUCGAACGAAGCAUUUAAGACAGAUUACUUCGGUUUGAAGUCUUUUAUGACUGAGUGGCGGACGGGUGAGUAACGCGUGGGUAACCUGCCUCAUACAGGGGGAUAGCAGCUGGAAACGGCUGGUAAUACCGCAUAAGCGCACAGUACCACAUGGUACAGUGUGAAAAACUCCGGCGGUAUGAGAUGGACCCGCGUCUGAUUAGCUUGUUGGCGGGGUAACGGCCCACCAAGGCGACGAUCAGUAGCCGACCUGGGAGGGUGACCGGCCGCGUUGGGACUGCGGCCCGGCCCAGACUCCUACGGGAGGCAGCAGUGGGGAAUAUUGCACAAUGGAGGAAACUCUGAUGCAGCGACGCCGCGUGAGUGAAGAAGUAGUUCGCUAUGUAAAGCUCUAUCAGCAGGGAAGAUAGUGACGGUACCUGACAAAGAAGCUCCGGCUAAAUACGUG